RNAcentral lists this unclassified non-coding RNA (157 nucleotides) under Jannaschia aquimarina. RNAcentral's name for it is "6S / SsrS RNA". Lineage: Bacteria; Pseudomonadati; Pseudomonadota; Alphaproteobacteria; Rhodobacterales; Roseobacteraceae. The record is from RNAcentral.
CGGUUACUGCCCUUCCCGUCCCAUGUGGCGAAAUUCCGGUGGCCUUAAGCAAUUCCGAGGGAGCUGGCUCUGUCGCGGCCCUGGCCGAGUUACCUGGCGCCCACCUGUAUAUACAGGUCCUCGGGAAUGUACGUCCGACGGUCGUGGUGGUUUCCGC